Cucurbita pepo subsp. pepo (vegetable marrow) is the source of this 2688-nucleotide non-coding RNA. The record is from RefSeq and is a predicted model, not a curated record. NCBI's taxonomy places the organism in Eukaryota, Viridiplantae, Streptophyta, Magnoliopsida, Cucurbitales, Cucurbitaceae.
GUAAUUCAGAGUCAAGUGGACUUAAAUUUCCCAAUCAGCAAAGAACUGAUGCUUGAUAUUUGCGGGUGAUUUUUCUGGCGAACAUUGGACAUGAUCCACACGAAUUGGAUAUGGAAAGAAUGAAGAACGAUGACAUUGAUGUUGAUAGAAGAACCGAUAAACAAUUGCAACUUUUCGAAUCCAAAAUUCAGGUACGCUUCUUUCUGUAUUUAGUUGAUAUGGUUUAGAGUUAUGUAAGGUUUUAGUUUUUUGGGUCCCAGGUUUAUGAGCCUUAAAUUAACUAAGUUAUUAAAUAACCCACAGGAUGUGCACAAUUUUAUUUUUGUAGCAAAAUUUGAGCUACAACGGUAAUUUAAUUAGUAAGAUUGGUUAAAUUAAGUGAAAUAAUUGGUUGAAUUAAAUGCUCCAGCUACAAAUUCCAAAUACAAUUAGAAUAUUUAUUUUAGGUUUUAGGUUGAUAAAUAAUUUAUUUUUAAAAUUGAAUAUAUAUGCCACCUGUAAAUCGUGACACAAAUGAAGGUAAGGAUGAGUUUGAGGCUUGAGGCGUAUAAUAAAAUGCGCCCUUCCUCUCUUCUUUCGACACCACAAUUUUGUAUCUCUUCCGGCUGCCGCCGUCUCAACCUCUCCCCUCAAAAUGGCCUCCUCCCUCUUCUCUUUCAAUACCUCUCUCUCUCCCAAACCCUCUUCUCUCUUCCGACGCCCCCUUCGCCGGAAUACUUCCCCCCCUUUCACCAUCGCCUGCCCCUCCGCCACCUCCGACUCUGCCGCCUCCCCUGUUCUCGACUCUUCCUUGCCCCUCGGAGUUCAGAAUCCCCACUUCGCUUCUGUCGAUAUUCAAGAUGACUCUCAUCGCAGUCGUUCCGUUGCUGCCGGUGGCGGCCGUAAUUUCUCUGCCAAGUAUGUGCCGUUUGGUUCUGGCUUUGAUUCAUCCGAAUGGUACUCGCUCGACGAAAUCGUUUAUCGGAGCCAAUCCGGCGGGCUGCUUGACGUUCAGCACAACAUGGAAGCGUUGAAGGAGUUCGAUGGAGGGUAUUGGCGGAAUCUGUUCGAUUCGCGUGUAGGGAAGACGACCUGGCCGUACGGUUCCGGCGUGUGGAGCAAGAAAGAGUGGGUGCUGCCGGAGAUUGACUCCAGCGACAUCGUUAGCGCCUUUGAAGGAAAUUCGAAUCUCUUCUGGGCGGAGCGUUUUGGGAAGGAGUUUCUAGGCAUGAACGAUCUGUGGGUCAAACAUUGCGGGAUUAGCCACACCGGCAGUUUUAAAGACCUUGGAAUGACUGUUUUAGUCAGCCAAGUCAACCGCCUCCGGAAAAUGAAUCGCCCGGUCGUCGGUGUCGGCUGCGCCUCCACUGGAGACACCUCCGCCGCUCUCUCUGCUUAUUGCGCCGCCGCAGGAAUUCCGUCCAUUGUUUUCCUCCCGGCCGAUAAGAUUUCCAUGGCACAAUUAGUUCAGCCGAUUGCAAACGGCGCUUUCGUCUUAAGCAUGGACACCGAUUUCGACGGCUGUAUGAAAUUAAUCAGGGAAAUCACGGCGGAGCUUCCGAUUUAUCUGGCGAAUUCGCUCAACAGUUUGAGACUGGAAGGGCAAAAGACGGCGGCCAUUGAAAUCCUUCAACAGUUCGAUUGGGAAGUGCCAGAUUGGGUAAUCAUACCAGGGGGAAACCUAGGGAAUAUAUAUGCGUUUUACAAAGGCUUCCAAAUGUGCAAAGAAUUAGGUCUUGUGGACAAGAUUCCGCGGCUGGUUUGUGCUCAAGCGGCAAAUGCAAAUCCGCUUUACUUGUAUUACAAAUCUGGCUGGAAAGAGUUCUCGCCAUUGAAGGCGAGCACCACUUUCGCUUCUGCAAUACAGAUUGGGGAUCCGGUUUCCAUUGACAGAGCCGUGUUUGCUUUGAAAAAUUCCGGCGGAAUCGUGGAAGAAGCGACGGAGGAGGAACUAAUGGACGCAACAGCUCAGGCUGAUUCGACGGGAAUGUUCAUUUGCCCUCACACAGGAGUGGCGUUAACGGCUCUGAUUAAGCUGAGAAACAGGGGCGUGAUCAAAGGCAGUGAUCGGACGGUGGUAGUAAGCACUGCUCAUGGUCUGAAAUUCACUCAAUCCAAGAUCGAUUACCACUCGAGAGCAAUCCAGGGCAUGGAGUGCCGAUUUGCAAACCCGCCGGUGGAAGUGAAGGCGGAUUUUGGGUCUGUAAUGGAUGUUCUUAAGGAGCAUCUGUCGAGGAAGAAUCCAAAAAUGGAGCUAUAGGCGAAUGUUUCUGCCAUUAAACUAAUCUGCAGUGGAGCUUCGUGUUCAAGGUGGAUAUCAUAAGUUUCUAAUAACUGCAGCAAUUGGAUUGGAUGGUUCCUUGUAACUCAAUAAACAGCCCAUUGGAUCUUGGAAAAAUAUGAAGAGUAGCAUUAGCUCAUACGCCCCAACAUUAUUGCAAAAACAAAUUCAAAUCUCCAUUGACUCUUGCAAUCAAUCAAUCAAUGUUGUUGUUGUUGUUGUGGGCCUUCAUGAAUUAUGGGUCCACUUUUGAUUUGGGAUUCCAUUCAUUUUAAUCAUAUUUAAAACUAGGAAGCUAAGAACUGAGAAGAGGAGGGGAUAAGUAUGGAGAAGCUGAGUGAGAGAAGCUUUGGGUCCCUAUGUCAUGUUGUUGGGUGUCACUGUUUUACUUGUUUGUCUCUAUCUUUACACAAGUAUAUUUUGGUGUG